Molecule: ribosomal RNA, 423 nt
Filed under: uncultured bacterium
Lineage: Bacteria
Description: bacterial SSU rRNA
Rfam family: Bacterial small subunit ribosomal RNA
Source: RNAcentral
UGAGGAAUAUUGGUCAAUGGACGCAAGUCUGAACCAGCCAUGCCGCGUGAAGGAUGAAGGCGUUCUGCGUUGUAAACUUCUUUUAUCAGGGAAGAAACCUCUUUAUUCUUAGAGAGCCGACGGUACCUGAGGAAUAAGCACCGGCUAACUCCGUGCCAGCAGCCGCGGUAAUACGGAGGGUGCAAGCGUUAUCCGGAUUUACUGGGUUUAAAGGGUGUGUAGGCGGGCCUUUAAGUCCGUGGUGAAAUACCAGUGCUUAACACUGGAACUGCCAUGGAUACUAUGGGUCUUGAAUGUUGAUGAGGUGGGCGGAAUGUAUCAUGUAGCGGUGAAAUGCUUAGAUAUGAUACAGAACACCGAUUGCGAAGGCAGCUCACUAAACAACGAUUGACGCUGAGGCACGAAAGCGUGGGGAUCAAACAG